This 381-nucleotide ribosomal RNA is filed under the name uncultured eukaryote. RNAcentral's name for it is "partial 18S ribosomal RNA". It matches the Rfam family "Eukaryotic small subunit ribosomal RNA", at positions 592 to 976 of the family's 1831-position model. The record is from RNAcentral.
CAAUAGCGUAUAUUAAAGUUGUUGCGGUAAAAAAGCUCGUAGUUGGAUUUCUACCGAAGAUAGCCGGUCGGGUCUUCGACCUUGUAUCUGGUUUUGUCUUUGGUAUCCUCAUAGGGAACGUUUCUGCGCUUUAUUGCGUGGUGCGGUAUCUAUGACUUUUACUUUGAGGAAAUUAGAGUGUUCACGGCAGGCAAACGCCUUGAAUAUAUUAGCAUGGAAUAAUAACAUAGGAUCUUCGUCCUAUUUUGUUGGUUUCUAGAGCUAAGAUAAUGAUUAAUAGGGAUAAUUGGGGGCAUCUGUAUCAACGCGUCAGAGGUGGAAUUCUUGGAUUGCGUUGCGACAAACUACUGCGAAAGCAUUUGCCAAGGAUGUUUUCAUUGA